Long non-coding RNA from Homo sapiens (human), 2296 nucleotides. Lineage: Eukaryota; Metazoa; Chordata; Mammalia; Primates; Hominidae. The record is from Ensembl.
UAAAUCUCAGAAGAGCAGCUUUUCAAAACUCUGUCAGGCCUGGGAGACAAAGGAAAUAUAUCUUGACCUCACAGAGAGCAUUCAGGUGGAAAAAAGUAAUUUUUUUAACUUGAAAUUUACAUUUAACUAAAAUGAAUUUGUCUCACAAUGAAGAAAGACUAAAUAAAUCAUGGUAUAGCCUAAGUGGAAAAUGGUUCCACUGUUAGAAAUCCGCAUUGAUAAAAGCCAUUCACUAACGUCGGUGAGGCAGGAGAACAGUGGCUGGAGGGAGAGAACAUAAGGCCGAUUCACGCUGAUUUCCUAGAACUAAAUCAAAUGGAAACACUUCAGUGAUGACAGGAGUAAACUCCCCACCCUCAAAGUGAAUGGCAGCCAUUUUUCUAGCUACAGAAGAGCAAAGCGCAGUACCACGUGCUCCUCCAGGCUGGAGCUGUCCUUGCUGGCGCUGUCUCUCCAUUUCUCUCUUAUUCUCCUGUGACGAUGGUGGGUGCACAUGUUCACAUGGAGAUGUCCAGGAUCCAAGCAAGUGGUCUGAAAGCCUGAGCCACAGCCCGUAAGGCAGGCACCCGGACAGGAACCCAGACCCACAGCAGACUUUGUCCAAGCAAUAGCGCUCCUAUGUCACGCCACUGAGAAUGUGGUGUCAUGUGUCACCGUAGCAUAAUCCAGUCUAACCUGACUGAUACCUCUGUUUUGAAAACAAACUGCUACAAGAAUUGCCUUGGGGGUUCAGUGCAUGAUCCAGAAAUUCACUGGUGACCCUCUGAGGCAUCUAGAUUGGCAUGAACUGUGUCUCAAGGGAAGAGAAGCCACUGGCGUUGAAAUGGUUAAUACAUGUGAUAGAAAUUAAGGCAGCAGCCUUGAAAGACUGCCAUGGAUAUUGAGAGAACAUAAGAGUUUCUAGAACACACCAACAUGAAGUUUGAGAUAUUCAAAGAUCACUGAAGACUUCACAAACCCGGUCUAUUGGGAUGUAUACCUACCCUUCCAGAAUGCAGAAUAUUUUCAGGAAGAAAGAAUACUCUUAGAAAAUAAUUCGUAUUUGAUUCACCAAGGUGACGUCUAGGAUUGUGAUCUUAGUUCUCAUUCUCUAGAAUCAUGUACCCUUCCUGUGAUACUGAAAUGUUGAAUUUGUGUUCAAUAAAACUUGAACAUAAUUUGAACAAAAACAAGGAUCCUACAUUAAAAAUCCUCACUAUAAUGAGAAAUGGACGUACUUACACAUCUCCAGGAGGAAAAACAGGAAGUUGACCAUAAUCAUAGGAGUGAUUUAUCAAGAAUUCCUAUCAAUACUUUCAAUAGUAUGUUUUCACAAGGGCUUCUUCCAAACUCUAUUGAUGUUGAAAUGCAUUUUAAAAGAUUAUAAUUGUCCUGUGGCUGAUGCUAGGAGAAGCUGAGCUAUGAAAAGCAGCUGAAAACGUGCUUCUUGGUGAAUAGUAUGAUGCUGAAUCUCCUGGUCAAGGAGCUGGCUCACCCCGUGGUGACCUCUGCCAUCCCAGCCAGGUGCCCGUUCAUGAAGACCAGCCCCACAGCAGUGGAGUUUCUUGAGAUUUUCCCAGGAAUGCUAAAAACAGUGGAGCUACUUUAAGGAAUCAACCCAUAAUCAUUAGCCUAUCCAAAUCUAAGCCCCACCAAGUUACUUGGAAGCUAUAAAUGUGUCUUUGAGUAUAUACAAAUAAAGAUGCUGUUUAUCCGGUCAUCUCUACGUGCAUUGUGAGCCUCACAAUGCCAGGGCCUCCCAAACACUUGAUACGGUCAGGGUACUAUCACUGGCGCAGAAAUGUAAGAGUGACACCACGUGCAUGGGUCUCUCCUGGGUGCUUUUGCUGAGGGAAGAAUUUUUCUAAACUUGACCUUGACUGAAAUUACAGUUGAUUGUGGAUGAUGCUUCUGGAGACGCUCAAAAUCAGGACUCAGUCUUUCCAUGGGACUUUUCUGGGUCUUGUGGAGAAGGGGAUAGAGAGGUUUUACUCUAGGGCUCUGUUAUGGCACGGUAAUUCUAUUUAUUCUGUCAUGGAAUCACUAGAAAAUAAAAUUCUGGAAGUCUGCUAGUAUUUUGCUACAUCAGCUGUCCAAAGGAAAAAGAGACAUGAGAUAUAUAAUCUGCUUACUUGGCCAUAUCAACACUUCUGAUGUUACUUCCACCCAAGAUGAGUUCCACCUGCAUGUGAGUCUCACCACCUCCUCCAAAGGACUUCCACCGUGUUCCUCCCACAAAGUGGAGUGUUGUACCAGUCCAUUACUGGUUAGAAAAUUCAUCUCAUAGGACUAAACUCUCCAGCUUUGGAUGUUAUUA